ACUCCUACGGGAGGCAGCAGUGGGGAAUUUUCCGCAAUGGGCGAAAGCCUGACGGAGCAAUGCCGCGUGAAGGUAGAAGGCCUACGGGUCGUGAACUUCUUUUCCCGGAGAAGAAGCAAUGACGGUAUCUGGGGAAUAAGCAUCGGCUAACUCUGUGCCAGCAGCCGCGGUAAU
This 174-nucleotide ribosomal RNA is filed under the name uncultured bacterium. RNAcentral describes it as "partial 16S ribosomal RNA". It matches the Rfam family "Bacterial small subunit ribosomal RNA", at positions 335 to 524 of the family's 1533-position model. The record is from RNAcentral.